GGCCGCGGGAAUUCGAUUCAGGCCUAACACAUGCAAGUAGAGCGAUUUACUUCGGUAAAGAGCGGCGGACGGGUGAGUAACGCGUGGGUAACCUGCCCUGUACACACGGAUAACAUACCGAAAGGUAUGCUAAUACGAGAUAAUAUGCUUUUAUCGCAUGGUAGAAGUAUCAAAGCUUUUGCGGUACAGGAUGGACCCGCGUCUGAUUAGCUAGUUGGUGAGGUAACGGCUCACCAAGGCGACGAUCAGUAGCCGACCUGAGAGGGUGAUCGGCCACAUUGGAACUGAGACACGGUCCAAACUCCUACGGGAGGCAGCAGUGGGGAAUAUUGCACAAUGGGCGAAAGCCUGAUGCAGCAACGCCGCGUGAGAAAUGGAGGCCUUCGGGUCGUAAAGCUCUGUCCUCAAGGAAGAUAAUGACGGUACUGA
RNAcentral lists this ribosomal RNA (429 nucleotides) under uncultured bacterium. RNAcentral describes it as "bacterial SSU rRNA". It matches the Rfam family "Bacterial small subunit ribosomal RNA", at positions 39 to 463 of the family's 1533-position model. The record is from RNAcentral.